GGCCAGAUAGCUCAGUCGGUAGAGCAGNNUCGGUGGUUCGAUUCCGCCUCUGGCCACCA
Molecule: transfer RNA, 59 nt
Filed under: Legionella sp.
Lineage: Bacteria; Pseudomonadati; Pseudomonadota; Gammaproteobacteria; Legionellales; Legionellaceae
Description: tRNA-Ser
Rfam family: tRNA
About the family: Transfer RNA (tRNA) molecules are approximately 80 nucleotides in length.
Source: RNAcentral